This 379-nucleotide ribosomal RNA is filed under the name marine Metazoa environmental sample. RNAcentral's name for it is "SSU rRNA". It matches the Rfam family "Eukaryotic small subunit ribosomal RNA", at positions 587 to 972 of the family's 1831-position model. The record is from RNAcentral. Lineage: Eukaryota; Metazoa.
AGCUCCAAUAGCGUAUAUUAAAGUUGUUGCAGUUAAAAAGCUCGUAGUUGGAUUUCGGAAUGGGCCAGUUGGUCCGCCGCAAGGUGAGUUACUGACUGGUUUGUUCUUCUUCGCAAAGACUGCGUGUGCUCUUUACUGAGUGUGCGUAGGAUUUACGACGUUUACUUUGAAAAAAUUAGAGUGUUCAAAGCAGGCUAUCGCUUGAAUACAUGAGCAUGGAAUAAUGGAAUAGGACUUUGGUUCUAUUUUGUUGGUUUCUAGGACCGAAGUAAUGAUUAAGAGGGACAAUUGGGGGCAUCCGUAUUUCGUUGUCAGAGGUGAAAUUCUUGGAUUUACGAAAGACGAACAACUGCGAAAGCACUUGCCAAGAGUGUUUUCA